CCUACGGGAUGCAGCAGUGGGGAAUAUUGCACAAUGGGGGAAACCCUGAUGCAGCGACGCCGCGUGAGUGAAGAAGUAAUUCGUUACGUAAAGCUCUAUCAGCAGGGAAGAAACACUGACCUUACGGUCAGCAGACGGUACCUGAGUAAGAAGCCCCGGCGAACUACGUGCCAGCAGCCGCGGUAAUAAGUAGGGGGCAAGCGUUAUCCGGAGUUACUGGGUGUAAAGGGAUCGUAGACGGUGCGCCAAGUCUGUAGUGAACUGACGCAGCUUAACUGCGGAACUGCUUUGGAACCGGGCGAACUAGAGGGCGGGAGGGGUAAGCGGAAUUCCUAGUGGAGCGGUGAAAUGCGUAGAGAGUAGGAGGAACUCCGGUGGCGAAGGCGGCUUAGUGGACCGUAACUGACGUUGAGGCUCGAAAGCGUGGGGAGCAAACAGGAUUAGAUACCCUUGUAGUC
This 458-nucleotide ribosomal RNA is filed under the name uncultured bacterium. RNAcentral's name for it is "partial 16S ribosomal RNA". It matches the Rfam family "Bacterial small subunit ribosomal RNA", at positions 338 to 795 of the family's 1533-position model. The record is from RNAcentral.